This 514-nucleotide ribosomal RNA is filed under the name uncultured bacterium. Its description in RNAcentral is "bacterial SSU rRNA". It matches the Rfam family "Bacterial small subunit ribosomal RNA", at positions 34 to 507 of the family's 1533-position model. The record is from RNAcentral.
CGCUGGCGGCGUGCCUAAUACAUGCAAAUCGAACGCACUCUCGUUUAGAUUGAAGGAGCUUGCUCCUGAUUGAUAAACAUUUGAGUGAGUGGCGGACGGGUGAGUAACACGUGGGUAACCUGCCCUAAAGUGGGGGAUAACAUUUGGAAACAGAUGCUAAUACCGCAUAAAACCUAACACCGCAUGGUGUAGGGUUGAAAGAUGGUUUCGGCUAUCACUUUGGGAUGGACCCGCGGUGCAUUAGUUAGUUGGUGAGGUAAAGGCUCACCAAGACCGUGAUGCAUAGCCGACCUGAGAGGGUAAUCGGCCACACUGGGACUGAGACACGGCCCAGACUCCUACGGGAGGCAGCAGUAGGGAAUCUUCCACAAUGGACGAAAGUCUGAUGGAGCAACGCCGCGUGAGUGAAGAAGGUUUUCGGAUCGUAAAACUCUGUUGUUGGAGAAGAAUGUAUCUGAUAGUAACUGAUCAGGUAGUGACGGUAUCCAACCAGAAAGCCACGGCUAACUACGUG